GGUCCUGCUCAGACUUCUGUUAGUGGUCAUAAUUACUAUAUCAGUUUUGUUGAUGCUUACAGCCGCUUUACCUGGCUUUAUCUUAUCAAACAUAAAUCUGAUGUGUUUGACAUUUUUGUUCAGUUCCAAAAACAUGUUGAACGCCUUCUCAAGCACAAAAUUGUUCAUGUUCAGUCGGACUGGGGUGGCGAGUAUCGCAACCUCAACUCCUUCUUUCAGUCGCUUGGGAUCACUCACCGUUUAGCAUGUCCACAUACACAUCAGCAGAAUGGUUCAGUAGAACGUAAGCAUCGUCACAUUGUUGAAGCUGGUCUGACUCUUUUGGCCCAUGCAUCUGUUCCGUUUCGUUUUUGGAGUGAUGCUUUCACCACUGCAUGUUUUCUCAUCAAUCGUACUCCCACUCGUGUUUUGAAUAUG
This 417-nucleotide ribosomal RNA is filed under the name Triticum aestivum (bread wheat). RNAcentral describes it as "partial small subunit ribosomal RNA". The record is from RNAcentral. Lineage: Eukaryota; Viridiplantae; Streptophyta; Magnoliopsida; Poales; Poaceae.